RNAcentral lists this ribosomal RNA (253 nucleotides) under uncultured bacterium. RNAcentral's name for it is "partial 16S ribosomal RNA". It matches the Rfam family "Bacterial small subunit ribosomal RNA", at positions 524 to 776 of the family's 1533-position model. The record is from RNAcentral.
UACGUAGGGGGCGAGCGUUGUCCGGAAUCAUUGGGCGUAAAGGGUGCGUAGGCGGUUUGCUAAGUUUGAUGUGAAAUCCCGGGGCUUAACCCCAGGACUGCAUUGAAUACUGGCGGACUAGAGUACUGGAGAGGAAACUGGAAUUUACGGUGUAGCAGUGAAAUGCGUAGAGAUCGUAAGGAAGACCAGUGGCGAAGGCGAGUUUCUGGACAGUUACUGACGCUGAGGCACGAAGGCCAGGGGAGCAAACGGG